AGGCCACGGCAGCUCCGAUGAAACCGGUCAGGGAGACUGUCCACCCUCUCCAGCUAUGGCUUCACUGAGUCUGGCUCUCAGAUUAUCAGUGAUACACCUGCCCUUUGAAGAUAAGCUGGGAAACAGAAGACUGAAGCAACAGCUCCAUCA
Archocentrus centrarchus (flier cichlid) is the source of this 150-nucleotide long non-coding RNA. RefSeq lists it as uncharacterized. The transcript has 3 exons. NCBI's taxonomy places the organism in Eukaryota, Metazoa, Chordata, Actinopteri, Cichliformes, Cichlidae. The record is from RefSeq and is a predicted model, not a curated record.